Molecule: ribosomal RNA, 465 nt
Filed under: uncultured bacterium
Lineage: Bacteria
Description: partial 16S ribosomal RNA
Rfam family: Bacterial small subunit ribosomal RNA
Source: RNAcentral
CCUACGGGAGGCAGCAGUGGGGAAUAUUGCGCAAUGGGCGAAAGCCUGACGCAGCGACGCCGCGUGAGGGAUGAAGGUCUUCGGAUCGUAAACCUCUGUCAGCAGGGAAGAACGGUCACUGUGCUAAUCAGCAGUGAAUUGACGGUACCUGCAAAGGAAGCACCGGCUAACUCCGUGCCAGCAGCCGCGGUAAUACGGAGGGUGCGAGCGUUAAUCGGAAUUACUGGGCGUAAAGCGCUCGUAGGCGGUAUGUCAAGUCAAGGGGGAAAUCCCCGGGCUCAACGUGGGAACUGCCUUUAAAACUGGCAAACUGGAGUGUGUGAGAGGAUAGUGGAAUUCGAGGUGUAGGAGUGAAAUCCGUAGAUAUCUGGAGGAACAUCAGUGGCGAAGGCGACUAUCUGGCACAUAACUGACGCUGAGGAGCGAAAGCGUGGGUAGCAAACAGGAUUAGAUACCCCAGUAGUC